RNAcentral lists this ribosomal RNA (462 nucleotides) under Porphyromonas gulae. RNAcentral describes it as "bacterial SSU rRNA". It matches the Rfam family "Bacterial small subunit ribosomal RNA", at positions 9 to 461 of the family's 1533-position model. Lineage: Bacteria; Pseudomonadati; Bacteroidota; Bacteroidia; Bacteroidales; Porphyromonadaceae. The record is from RNAcentral.
GAGUUUGAUUCUGGCUCAGGAUGAACGCUAGCGAUAGGCUUAACACAUGCAAGUCGAGGGGCAGCAUGAACUUAGCUUGCUAAGUUUGAUGGCGACCGACGCACGGGUGCGUAACGCGUAUGCAACUUGCCUUACAGAGGGGGAUAACCCGUUGAAAGACGGACUAAUACCGCAUAUACUUAUUCGGUUGCAUGACCGGGCAAGGAAAUAUUUAUAGCUGUAAGAUAGGCAUGCGUCCCAUUAGCUAGUUGGUGAGGUAACGGCUCACCAAGGCAACGAUGGGUAGGGGAACUGAGAGGUUUAUCCCCCACACUGGUACUGAGACACGGACCAGACUCCUACGGGAGGCAGCAGUGAGGAAUAUUGGUCAAUGGGCGAGAGCCUGAACCAGCCAAGUCGCGUGAAGGAAGACUGUCCUAAGGAUUGUAAACUUCUUUUAUACGGGAAUAAACGGGCGAUACG